AAUAGUGAAAAUAAUAGCAAGUGACACAAGUGAGGAGCUCCCUUAGAUGUUUUAGAGAAGAAAAAUACCUGAAUAAUUUUCUUAAAGAGUUUUUGAAAAGACAAGUAAUAUAAGCAGAAUAUCCACUUUUCAAGUUUAAAGCUAGACUAUUAGAUCUAUUUGCAGGUCUGGGUCUGCCACAGCUUCAAGAUUAGCUGCACAGUCCUUCACCCCCACUUCAUCUCUUCAAGCACAACUUCUUAAUGUUUAAGUUCCCAUUCAUCUUUGGAGUACUGCACAGACACAACAUUUGUAUCUGCAUCCACAUCUGUAUCUGCAAAAACGAGCUAUGGAUAUCCUCAUCCACAUCCAUAGGUGUGAAUCCCUGUAGAUUUAAAGCAGAUAUUUGCAGGGCUCUACUGACCUGUACCUUUCUUUCUCUUUGCUGCUGACUUGAAGAAAAAAAAAAGGCGGUGGGGUGUAUGUGUUUGAGGGUGAGGGGGUUAAAACCAUAUGUACAGAUGUUAUUAGAGUAAAAAGUGGUUGUAGAUCUCCCAUAAACAAAUUUUUAAAUGACAUUUGAUAUGAAGAGAGUAAGACCAAUUAUGAUAUAUUGUAAAAUAAUCUUAAAUUAUUUCAGCAGAAAUUUCAUAUAUAAAACCAAACACUACACAAAAAAAUUUUUUUUGAUUAAAAUCUUUACAGGUUCUUCUUAUAGAUGACAACAGUCUAAAAAGUCUAACAGCUGUAUUUUGAGGGGGGAAUAAUGAAAAUAACUGAUUUAGCAAAGCAAAUCUUGUUGAAGUUGCUUAUUAUAGAGCUUGUAUUUUAACACGAGCCAUCCCUUUCUGGUAGAAUUCCCAGUCUUCUUGCAAUUUCCUAUUGUGGAAUUAAAUUCGAUCUUUCACAACAAA
Molecule: non-coding RNA, 893 nt
Organism: Pelodiscus sinensis (Chinese soft-shelled turtle)
Lineage: Eukaryota; Metazoa; Chordata; Testudines; Trionychidae
Source: RefSeq, a predicted model, not a curated record